CCUACGGGUGGCAGCAGUGAGGAAUAUUGGUCAAUGGGCGAGAGCCUGAACCAGCCACGUCGCGUGAGGGAUGAAGGUUCUCUGGAUCGUAAACCUCUUUUAUAAGGGAAUAAAGUGUGGGACGUGUCCUAUUUUGUAUGUACCUUAUGAAUAAGGAUCGGCUAAAUCCGUGCCAGCAGCCGCGGUAAUACGGAGGAUCCGAGCGUUAUCCGGAUUUAUUGGGUUUAAAGGGUGCGUAGGCGGCCUUUUAAGUCAGCGGUGAAAGUCUGUGGCUCAACCAUAGCAUUGCCGUUGAAACUGGGGGGCUGGAGUAUGGUUGAGGCAGGCGGAAUGCGUGGUGUAGCGGUGAAAUGCUUAGAUAUCACGCAGAACCCCGAUUGCGAAGGCAACCUGCCAAGCCAUGACUGACGCUGAGGCACGAAAGCGUGGGGAUCAAACAGGAUUAGAUACCCCAGUAGUC
This 460-nucleotide ribosomal RNA is filed under the name uncultured bacterium. Its description in RNAcentral is "partial 16S ribosomal RNA". It matches the Rfam family "Bacterial small subunit ribosomal RNA", at positions 338 to 795 of the family's 1533-position model. The record is from RNAcentral.